This 425-nucleotide ribosomal RNA is filed under the name Leptodactylus mystaceus group sp. ABGD cluster 49. RNAcentral describes it as "partial large subunit ribosomal RNA". It matches the Rfam family "Bacterial large subunit ribosomal RNA", at positions 1822 to 2457 of the family's 2925-position model. Lineage: Eukaryota; Metazoa; Chordata; Amphibia; Anura; Leptodactylidae. The record is from RNAcentral.
CUUGACAAACCUAUAAGAGGUCCAGCCUGCCCAGUGACUCUGUUCAACGGCCGCGGUAUCCUAACCGUGCGAAGGUAGCGUAAUCACUUGUUCUUUAAAUGAGGACUAGUAUGAAUGGCACCACGAAGGUUAUACUGUCUCCUUUUUCUAAUCAGUGAAACUAAUCUUCCCGUGAAGAAACGGGAAUAAAAAUAUAAGACGAGAAGACCCUAUGGAGCUUUAAACAAAUAUACACCUGCCUCUUUACCAAAAAUUUCAGAAGACAAGUAAUUACCCGGGCAUUUUGAUAUAGCGUUUUAGGUUGGGGUGACCGCGGAGCAAAAAAUAACCUCCGCAGCGAACGGGAGUAUUCCCUAAACCAAGGGCCACAACCCUAAGUAUUAAUAAAUUAACACUAAUUGACCCAAUAAAUUUGAUCAAUGAAC